Molecule: transfer RNA, 71 nt
Filed under: Pygmaeconus traillii
Lineage: Eukaryota; Metazoa; Mollusca; Gastropoda; Neogastropoda; Conidae
Description: tRNA-Asn
Source: RNAcentral
UUAAAUGAAAGCCAAAAAGAGGCACUUAUCUGUUAAUUAAGUAAAUGUGAUAAUCACUCAUUUAGGUCUAA